Molecule: non-coding RNA, 1568 nt
Organism: Sturnus vulgaris (Common starling)
Lineage: Eukaryota; Metazoa; Chordata; Aves; Passeriformes; Sturnidae
Source: RefSeq, a predicted model, not a curated record
AAAUCAAUUUCUUUUAGAAAAAUUCCGUCAAAGCAGGAAGUUCAAUAAUAAAUGUCUUCAACUAUUUAAAGGGAAGAAAAAUUCUGAAAAUUAAGAACAGCUUGUGAUUUCUUCAACAACAACAAAAGAUUGUCUAGUUCCUUAUAGUCUUGUGCUCCUAGUCUGACCUAAGUACUGUGAGCAUGUAUGGAGUGAGAUUAUGGAAUGGCAAAUAUUUCACAAGAGAAAACACACAAGCGUAUUUCUUUGGGGCAAGGGACAUAGCUAAGUAAUUAUCUGUCACACGUCCAGAAGUUCUCAAUGUACUUUUAUUUUUAAAAAUCAUGAUUUUGUGUGAUAGCUUACGAUUAGGAUGCUGUGCUUGAACAUUUUCCUGCCUGUUGGAGGCAGUGCAGGGGCAGCCCAGCAGAGCUGGGUGCAUGCGGGACUCGGGCACUCUGCAAGGCUCAGGAGGAUCCUCAGCAGGAGCCGGGUGGUGUCUGUGUGUUGCAAAAGCCACCUCUGGCCCAAAGCAUGGCCUGACCCUGUUCUUGGGACAGCCCUGUGGGAGGGGUGCAUAAACAAACAAGUGCAGGAAGCAGCCAGCCUGGUGCUGGGGAAACUCGAGGGUUUGUUAUGGCUGCAUGCUCAGCACCUGCUGAAACUCCUGGUUUGCUCACCUGAGGAGUACGAGCAGGACAUGGGCUGGUUUGUGCUCCCUGGGCAAUGAGACUGUGUCUCUCCCGAGCCAUUGGAGUGGCCACCAUAUCUGGUGUUGCUGUCAGCUUGCCUUCAAUUGUUUUUAAAAGGAAUUUUUUUAAAGAUCCACCUUUUCCUCUCACUGAUUACCACUAUAUCCUGGUAUCAGGAUCUUCCAACUCCCAGUUGUUUCUCCUUCUCUCAGGCUGAAUGGUAAAAUGAGCAGAUGUGCUGCAAAAGAGCUAUCUGCCUUUUAUAAUCUGUAAAUUGCCUUCUGGGUACAAAGUUGGAGUAUAUGGAUUUAAGCUUAUAAGUGCAACUGAACAGUCAUUUGUAACGGGUAUAACAUGAGGUGAAGAGAAGCAUUUAAAGUUUAGAGCGACCUUCAGUAGAGAAGAAAAUUAUCUGGUGACUGCUAUUGUUGAUCUUGGAAUGUGUUUCAGAUGUUAGGUGUGGACUUUAUAUCACCCUUGGGGCACUUAAUAACAACUAAACGAGCAUUAACUGCUGAAGUCAGUGAAGUUUUAUCAGUGCGAAUCCAGGGGCAUUGUUGUCUUUGUCUUGUCACAAAAUAAGUUCAAAAUAAUGGUGCAGAACAAGGAGUGGAAGAGAAAUGUUCUGAGGUCUGAUUCUCCAGCCAUUCCAUCCUGUUACACCAGCACAUUUGUGACCAAGACAAUCAUGAACUAAACUUGUCCUCUCGGACUAGGAAAAAUGUAAUGCAAAAUAUUUCAAUUUAAUAGACAUUUCUUUGUAGUGAAAAUACAAUUAAAAGAGGUUGAGAACUUUUACAAGGGGGUGCUAAUCCUGGUAUUUUUGUCUAACUAGGCUUUCAGCAACCUGUGCACUCUCUAUUCGUGGAGCUCAUCAUACCUGGCUUAGUUUCAUAA